CAAUUCCACCCCCUGUACUGACACAUCGAUAUUGAAAGUACAAGAUCCACCCAGAGUUAUUUGUUCUAUUUUAAAACUUGUACAAAAUCAGUUCAAAUUCUGGGAAUCCCGGAUGACGUAGUUGAAUCUGAUUGGAUAAGAUAGAAAAGUGAUGAGGGGAUUUUCCCCUUUCAAUUUUAGAAACGCCAAGAAUGUUUUGUUACUAGUCCGUCUGGCAUUUUUGGUUACAAGUCUUGGUUGCCCGAGGUCUAAAUGUUGUAGUCCUGGGCGUCGGGCUAGUGGAUUUCUUAACUCCUGAUACU
This 302-nucleotide long non-coding RNA is filed under the name Mytilus galloprovincialis (Mediterranean mussel). The record is from RNAcentral. Lineage: Eukaryota; Metazoa; Mollusca; Bivalvia; Mytilida; Mytilidae.